CCUACGGGUGGCUGCAGUGGGGAAUAUUGGACAAUGGGGGGAACCCUGAUCCAGCCAUGCCGCGUGUGUGAAGAAGGCCCUCGGGUUGUAAAGCACUUUCAGUGAGGAAGAACGCCUGGUGGUUAAUACCCAUCAGGAAAGACAUCACUCACAGAAGAAGCACCGGCUAACUCCGUGCCAGCAGCCGCGGUAAUACGGAGGGUGCGAGCGUUAAUCGGAAUUACUGGGCGUAAAGCGCGCGUAGGUGGCUUGAUAAGCCGGUUGUGAAAGCCCCGGGCUCAACCUGGGAACGGCAUCCGGAACUGUCAAGCUAGAGUGCAGGAGAGGAAGGUAGAAUUCCCGGUGUAGCGGUGAAAUGCGUAGAGAUCGGGAGGAAUACCAGUGGCGAAGGCGGCCUUCUGGACUGACACUGACACUGAGGUGCGAAAGCGUGGGUAGCAAACAGGAUUAGAUACCCUUGCAGUC
This 465-nucleotide ribosomal RNA is filed under the name Vreelandella stevensii. RNAcentral's name for it is "partial 16S ribosomal RNA". It matches the Rfam family "Bacterial small subunit ribosomal RNA", at positions 338 to 795 of the family's 1533-position model. Lineage: Bacteria; Pseudomonadati; Pseudomonadota; Gammaproteobacteria; Oceanospirillales; Halomonadaceae. The record is from RNAcentral.